Molecule: ribosomal RNA, 167 nt
Filed under: Krameria erecta
Lineage: Eukaryota; Viridiplantae; Streptophyta; Magnoliopsida; Zygophyllales; Krameriaceae
Description: 5.8S ribosomal RNA
Rfam family: 5.8S ribosomal RNA
About the family: 5.8S ribosomal RNA (5.8S rRNA) is a component of the large subunit of the eukaryotic ribosome.
Source: RNAcentral
ACAAGAACGACUCUCGGCAACGGAUAUCUCGGCUCUCGCAUCGAUGAAGAACGUAGCGAAAUGCGAUACUCGGUGUGAAUUGCAGAAUCCCGUGAACCAUCGAGUCUUUGAACGCAAGUUGCGCCCGAAGCCGUUAGGUUGAGGGCACGUCUGCCUGGGUGUCACAC